CGGGUGAGCAGUCCUGAUGGUUUCGGUGCAGCUGCUCUAGCUUGUAUCGCCACCACGAUGGUGGUCGUCGCCGAGCACUUGCCUAAGGUCAUCAAAAGGCAGGUGUACUACGGAUCCGAAUCGUCCUGUCAGGAAAGCAAUCUGUCACCAGAUCUGGAGCAUGACUCUAGACUCCCACAACACGAGUUCGACUCCGAGUUUUGCUCCACUGAGAAGUACCAAAAGCUGAGUUGUGUGCAUGGGCACACUCCUGCUCGACGUGUAUGCAUGGAGGGAUUCUACAUUGGCAGACGGUUUCUCAGUUGCCCCUUAGAGGGAUAUGAGGCUUGUGCCUUUGUUAACUGGCUGGAUGAAGAACGGCAUGGCAGGGCUCGGAGUGUUAUCACCAAGUUCAUAGAAGAUAAC
Molecule: long non-coding RNA, 405 nt
Organism: Triticum aestivum (bread wheat)
Lineage: Eukaryota; Viridiplantae; Streptophyta; Magnoliopsida; Poales; Poaceae
Exons: 3
Source: RefSeq, a predicted model, not a curated record